This 80-nucleotide transfer RNA is filed under the name Helianthus annuus subsp. texanus. Its description in RNAcentral is "tRNA-Leu". Lineage: Eukaryota; Viridiplantae; Streptophyta; Magnoliopsida; Asterales; Asteraceae. The record is from RNAcentral.
UAAUUGAUUCCGUGUUAAAAAUUUUUGGAUAACUUUCUGACUUCUUAAUUUAUUUACUAUAUGGAAUGAGUUUUCUAUAU